RNAcentral lists this transfer RNA (74 nucleotides) under Candidatus Aenigmatarchaeota archaeon. Its description in RNAcentral is "tRNA-Met". It matches the Rfam family "tRNA". Rfam says of the family: Transfer RNA (tRNA) molecules are approximately 80 nucleotides in length. Their secondary structure includes four short double-helical elements and three loops (D, anti-codon, and T loops). The record is from RNAcentral. Lineage: Archaea; Nanobdellati; Candidatus Aenigmatarchaeota.
GCCGGGGUAGUUUAGCUCGGUAGAACGCCAGGCUCAUGACCUGGAGAUCCCGGGUUCAAAUCCCGGCCCCGGCA